CCGUUUGUGUCCUUGAGACGUGAGUGGCGCAGCUAACGCACUAAGUUGACCGCCUGGGGAGUACGGCCGCAAGGUUAAAACUCAAAUGAAUUGACGGGGGCCCGCACAAGCGGUGGAGCAUGUGGUUUAAUUCGAUGCAACGCGAAGAACCUUACCAUCCCUUGACAUCCAGAGAAGAGACUAGAGAUAGACUUGUACCUUCGGGAACUCUGUGACAGGUGCUGCAUGGCUGUCGUCAGCUCGUGUUGUGAAAUGUUGGGUUAAGUCCCGCAACGAGCGCAACCCCUAUCCUUAUUUGCCAGCGCGUUAUGGCGGGAACUCUAAGGAGACUGUCGGUGAUAAACCCGAGGAAGGUGGGGACGACGUCAAGUCAUCAUGGCCCUUACGGGAUGGGCUACACACGUGCUACAAUGGCAGGUACAGAGGGCAGCAAUACUGCGAGGUGGAGCGAAUCCCACAAAGCUUGUCGUAGUCCGGAUUGGAGUCUGCAACUCGACUCCAUGAAGUCGGAAUCGCUAGUAAUCGUAGAUCAGAAUGCUACGGUGAAUACGUUCCCGGGCCUUGUACACACCGCCCGUCACACCAUGGGAGUGGGAUGCAAAAGAAGUGGCUAGUCUAACCUUCGGGAGGACGGUCACCACUUUGUGUUUCAUGACUGGGGUGAAGUCGUAACAAGGUAGCCG
RNAcentral lists this ribosomal RNA (683 nucleotides) under uncultured bacterium. Its description in RNAcentral is "bacterial SSU rRNA". It matches the Rfam family "Bacterial small subunit ribosomal RNA", at positions 820 to 1502 of the family's 1533-position model. The record is from RNAcentral.